This 29-nucleotide small RNA is filed under the name Arabidopsis thaliana (thale cress). RNAcentral describes it as "ATSL079670". The record is from RNAcentral. Lineage: Eukaryota; Viridiplantae; Streptophyta; Magnoliopsida; Brassicales; Brassicaceae.
AAAAAAAAAGGAAAAAAAAAAACUGAAAC